Molecule: transfer RNA, 76 nt
Filed under: Bacillus subtilis subsp. subtilis str. BSP1
Lineage: Bacteria; Bacillati; Bacillota; Bacilli; Caryophanales; Bacillaceae
Description: tRNA-Lys
Source: RNAcentral
UGCAAUUCCAACUUGGUUGCCCCUGUCACAGUCGGAGAAGGCGCUUAUGUGGCGGCAGGUUCAACUGUUACGGAAG